UUUUUAGAAUAACAGAAAACAAAACAGAGUACAUCUUGACGAGAUUGAAAAAUGUUUAUACUAACAAGAAAAGAAAGAGAUUUUCGAAGAAGAAAUAUGGAGCAUGUGAAAAGUUUAGAAGGUAUGGCACAUAUUGUUUAGACAAAAUCAUAAGAGGAUGGAAAGAGACACUGUAAGAAAAAAUAAAACAAAUAAAAUAAGUUCUUGCAAAAAGAUAGGGAGAGUGAUAGCUCUCUGUAAAAAAAAUUAUGAAGACAGAAAUUCAUAUACAUAUUGAAAAGAAUGUGAGAAAAAUAUGAAAUGUUAAAAGAAAAUGUAGAUAAGCUUAUGAAUAUACGAUCUACAUAAUAUCUUAUUUUUAGAAGAGCUAUACUAACUAAUGCAGCGAAGAUAAACGAAAAACAAUAAUAAAUUUGCGGGUACCAAAAUGAGAAUCAUCGAAUCUAUUUCCCGUACAACAAUUUAUUUCAUAUGUACGUAAAAAAGACGUUGUUAUCCUAAAUAUCUAAAGCUAAGGAGAGAGUCAUGAACCAAAAAAAUCUUCUUUUGCUAAAUGUUGUAAAAUCUAAGAGUUGUAUAAAAGUUAUUUUUAAUUAUGUAUUUAAAUUGUAAAUAUUUGUCACGGUAAUUUUAAAAUUCAAAGAG
RNAcentral lists this small RNA (645 nucleotides) under Arabidopsis thaliana (thale cress). Its description in RNAcentral is "ATSL175530". The record is from RNAcentral. Lineage: Eukaryota; Viridiplantae; Streptophyta; Magnoliopsida; Brassicales; Brassicaceae.